This is an RNA transcript of Chenopodium quinoa (quinoa), 3688 nucleotides long. It is a transcript of the gene named DEAD-box ATP-dependent RNA helicase 21-like, with no coding region annotated. The record is from RefSeq and is a predicted model, not a curated record. The transcript has 3 exons. Lineage: Eukaryota; Viridiplantae; Streptophyta; Magnoliopsida; Caryophyllales; Amaranthaceae.
UAAAGACUCGCCCUAUUUAUAUAUUAAACGGAUUUGACCCAUUUAUAACUGGAAAGGGUCGGGGCUUUUAAUGGGGGGCUCCAACCCAUUGAAUUGCUCUAAUUGUCAAUAAGGGGAAAAAAAAAAAAAAACACGGAAGAACGUAGCCCUAUCUCCUCCUUUCUCAGUUCUCCAUUGAAGCGAGGCGCCUUCUAAUACUUGUAUCCCCCAUUGAAACAGCUUCUGAGGUGCAAGGUGUUGUUUGUUUGUUGAUCAAUUGAGAGUAGACGACGUAUAUUUAGUACAAUGAAGAGGCCUUUGGAGGAAGUUGCCAGUGUGGUUGCCUCAGCUGCAGUGGCGAAUACCAGCUCUAGUAAUGCGAAGCCGGUUUUCUUGACUAAAGCCCAGAGAGAGCAGUUAGCUUUACAAAAACGUCAAGAAGAAGUUGCUGAACAGAGACGCCGUGCUGAGGAGUUGCUUCAGAGUCGAUCUGUUGAUAACAGACCUUCCGAUUCUUCUCACCACCGCUCUUCCCGCGACCAUGACCGUGAUCGUGACCGCGAUCAUGACCGCUACCGUGAUCGUGACCGUGUGCGAGAAAGAGAAAGAGACCGUGAUCGGGAGAGAGAUCGUGAAAUUGAAAGGAGGAAUCGUGACAAGGAACGUGAAGAGGAGAGCAAAACUAGGGAUCGUGCUAGGCUGGAGAAGUUGACGGAAAGGGAGAGGGAAAAGGAACUGGAGCUUAUUAAAGAGCAGUAUCUAGGUUCCAAGAAACCUAAGAAGCGUGUGAUCAAGCCUAGUGAGAAAUUUCGCUUCUCCUUUGAUUGGGAGAACACUGAGGACACCUCUCGCGACAUGAAUGCUCUCUAUCAAAACCCUCAUGAGGCUCAGCUGCUGUUUGGUAGAGGGUUCCGAGCGGGAAUAGAUCGUAGGGAGCAGAAGAAGCUAGCUGUGAAAAAUGAAGUUGAGUUGCGUGAGGAAAUUCGCAAAAAGGAUGGCACAGAAGAGGCACCUGAGGAGGCUGCUGCUCAACGUCGCCGGGAGCAAGCUGCUGAAGUGUAUGAGGAUCAUGAUAUGAGGGUAGACCGCCACUGGUCUGAUAAGAGGCUUGAAGAAAUGACUGAAAGGGACUGGAGAAUUUUCAGGGAGGACUUCAAUAUAUCUUACAAGGGGUCUAAGAUUCCUAAACCAAUGAGGAAUUGGGUAGAGAGUAAACUGACUUCAGAGCUGUUGAAAGCUGUGGAGCGAGCUGGCUAUAAGACUCCGUCCCCUAUCCAGAUGGCAGCUAUUCCUUUAGGACUUCAACAGCGAGAUGUCAUUGGUGUUGCGGAGACUGGUUCGGGUAAGACGGCUGCUUUUGUUCUCCCUAUGUUGGCUUAUAUAACUAGGCUGCCACCGAUUACUGAAGAGAAUGAAGCUGAGGGUCCUUAUGCUGUUGUUAUGGCCCCUACUCGCGAAUUAGCUCAACAGAUUGAAGAGGAGACUGUUAAGUUUGCCCACUAUCUGGGGAUUAAGGUUGUCUCGAUUGUUGGUGGACAAUCCAUUGAGGAGCAGGGAUUCAAAAUUAGACAAGGGUGUGAAAUUGUUAUUGCAACCCCUGGACGUCUCUUGGAUUGUCUGGAAAGGCGUUAUGUUGUUUUGAACCAGUGCAAUUAUGUUGUUCUUGAUGAAGCUGAUCGAAUGAUAGAUAUGGGUUUUGAGCCUCAGGUUGUUGGUGUGCUGGAUGCAAUGCCUUCAAGUAAUAUGAAGCCUGAGAAUGAAGAAGAGGAGCUUGAUGCAAAAAAGAUUUACCGGACAACCUAUAUGUUUAGUGCCACUAUGCCACCUGCUGUAGAGCGGCUUGCCAGGAAGUACUUGAGGAAUCCUGUGGUGGUGACUAUUGGUACGGCUGGAAAAACUACUGACCUCAUCACACAACAUGUGAUCAUGACAAAGGAAUCAGAAAAAACUUACAAGCUGCAAAAGCACCUUGAUGAGUUAGGUGAUAAGACAGCUAUAGUGUUUGUUAACACCAAGAAGACUGCUGAUGUGCUUUCCAAAAAUUUGGACAAAUCAGGUUAUCGAGUCACAACAUUGCAUGGUGGAAAAUCACAGGAACAAAGAGAAAUCAGUCUGGAAGGUUUCAGGACCAAGAGGUACAAUGUAAUGGUUGCCACAGAUGUUGCUGGACGUGGUAUUGAUAUACCUGAUGUUGCUCAUGUAAUCAACUAUGAUAUGCCGGGGAAUAUUGAGAUGUACACCCAUCGUAUUGGCCGAACUGGGAGAGCAGGAAAAACUGGUGUGGCGACCACCUUUUUGACUUUGCAUGAUACUGAUGUCUUCUAUGAUUUGAAGCAGAUGCUCAUUCAGAGUAAUAGUCCUGUUCCGCCUGAACUUGCAAGACAUGAAUCUGCAAAAUUCAAACCUGGAUCAGUUCCUGAUAGACCUCCAAGACGCAAUGAGACUGUUUUUGUGCAUUGAUAAUUCUGCCUCUUCAGGACAUCGUUUUGAAUUUUGAUAAAGUUUCUCCGGAAUGUACUUAAAUGUCUAGGGUUUUCUGCAUUGGAGUUUCAUCAGGCACAAGAGGCUGGAGCAGAAACAAAACGCACAUCUUAUAAUUAAGCAGGCAAGGACAUUAUGUUGUUUUGAAUUUGAUUAAUAUUCUUUUUCCAAGUAUAUAUCACUUUUUGCUAUUACUCAUUGCACUUGCACUUGUACUAUAGUCCGCGGCCACCUGUGGGAUGGUAUAGUUCUGUUGAGUGAAGUAAAUACUGUUCUCUGUAUCUUCAAAUUACUAUGAUAUCCACAUACGUAGUAUAUCAAUGAGAUUGCUGGAUUAAAUGAGUUGCAGACUUGCAGGAGUAUGUCUUGCAAGAGCACUUCUUUGCGGGAAUGAGAGGGAGGUUAUGUAGUGUACGUAAGCUUGAUCUAUUACUAACAUGGUUGAUCUGAUAUGGUUUUUGAUGGUGAAUUAGAUGCCUAGAGACCAUUUAGUCAAUAGAUUUGCUCUUAAGGUUUCACUAUGAGUAUGUUUAGAAGUAGUCUAAGAUGGGGAAUGAUUAAGAUAAAGGAUUCUGGAUUAUUUCUGUAAUUGACCUGUUCGAGUGGAUGCUCAAUUUUGAAGUAGUUCCUUUUGGUAGUGAGUCAUCUGUAUACACAAGCACAAACUGAGGAACCAAUUCUUAUAUUGUGGUAGCGUAAUUGAUCGUAUGAAUGCUAUAAGCAAGUCAGAUCUACUCUUGUUCGAAACUUGUAUAUGUGCACUGUGGUGACCGGUGACAUGUUAGUAUAUAUUCCACCUUAGCUCCAAGAAUGGAUUGUAUACCUGUAUACAUUGCAUAUAGAAGUAUUUCAGAAAAGAGAUCUGACGCUUAAUGUGUGAUAUAAGGUUGCUUGUGAUGGUUAUACAGUAUUUACCCGAGUCUGAGGCCUUUACUGUCUUGGCCAUUGGAAUGGUGGGAGCUGAUACGGGUCAAGGAGGAUUUGUGCUUAGUUUGCUGUAAAUGUGGUGAUCAUCUCUCUUUGCCUAUUGAAAUAUAUUCAUGCUGCACACCUGGUACUUAGUAAAUGGUACAGCCUCAUUCUUAGGUUAUUUUGGAGCUCCCCAAAUGAGAGAGGGGUAAUUAAAUGAAAUUUAUCGCGAAUGAACAACAAAAUAAUUGGUUUUAUCAUACACUGUGUACAACAUAAUUUUAUACUGAAAUAACAUUGCCUAUAUUUUCGAUGGUUA